CCUUCGUCUAGAGGCCUAGGACACCGCCCUUUCACGGCGGUAACAGGGGUUCGAAUCCCCUAGG
Molecule: transfer RNA, 64 nt
Filed under: Shewanella putrefaciens
Lineage: Bacteria; Pseudomonadati; Pseudomonadota; Gammaproteobacteria; Alteromonadales; Shewanellaceae
Also listed under: 1 other name
Description: tRNA-Glu
Rfam family: tRNA
About the family: Transfer RNA (tRNA) molecules are approximately 80 nucleotides in length. Their secondary structure includes four short double-helical elements and three loops (D, anti-codon, and T loops).
Source: RNAcentral